UACGGAGGAUGCAAGCGUUAUCCGGAAUGAUUGGGCGUAAAGCGUCCGCAGGUGGCUGUGUAAGUCUGCUGUCAAAGAGCGAAGCUCAACUUCGUAAAGGCAGUGGAAACUACACGGCUAGAGUGCGUUCGGGGCAGAGGGAAUUCCUGGUGUAGCGGUGAAAUGCGUAGAGAUCAGGAAGAACAUCGGUGGCGAAGGCGCUCUGCUGGACCAUAACUGACACUCAGGGACGAAAGCUAGGGGAGCGAAUGGG
This 253-nucleotide ribosomal RNA is filed under the name uncultured bacterium. Its description in RNAcentral is "partial 16S ribosomal RNA". It matches the Rfam family "Bacterial small subunit ribosomal RNA", at positions 524 to 776 of the family's 1533-position model. The record is from RNAcentral.